GAUGAAGAACGUAGCGAAAUGCGAAAAGUAAUGUGAAUUGCAGAAUUCAGUGAAUCAUCGAAUCUUUGAACGCACAUUGCGCCCGCUGGUACUCCGGCGGGCACGCCUGUCCGAGCGUCAUUUCAACCCUCAAGCCCUCCUUCGGGAUGGGCCUGGUGUUGGGGCUCGGCCGCCAUCUCCGGCGGCCGUCCCCUAAAUACAGUGGCGGUCACGUCGCGACUCCUUUGCGUAGUAGAAACACCUCGCUCCGGAUAGCAACGCGGUCCACGCCGUAAAAUCCCCAAUUUUCAAUGGUUGACCUCGGAUCAGGUGGGAAUACCCGCUGAACUUAAGCAUAUCAAUAACGGAGGA
This 351-nucleotide unclassified non-coding RNA is filed under the name soil metagenome. RNAcentral describes it as "partial contains 5.8S ribosomal RNA, internal transcribed spacer 2, and large subunit ribosomal RNA". The stretch from base 1 to 120 matches the Rfam family "5.8S ribosomal RNA", at positions 35 to 154 of the family's 154-position model. The record is from RNAcentral.